AUAGAAAGAAAAAGAUUUUGAGACUCAGUCUCAUUUUUGGCAGUUAAGCCAGAUCUGCUGUUAGAGGAGAAUUCUUCUGUCCUAGCUGUGUCUCUGUGAUCUGUGGAUGAGGGUGGGAAAGCACCACUCAGUCAAUUGGGGUGUACAAAAUGGAGUUUGAGAAGGUCUCACAUCCAGGUUGUUUUGAAGCAAAGUCCAAGCAUUGUAUCACUUCAUCUGCAAAUAUUUCAAUAAGUACCCAAAAGUGGUUGGACUGAGUCCCAUGAAGCCAGAUCACUUCUGACUGCAAGGAGCUUGGAAAAGCAAGUAUCUGGAUCUUUUACCAGCUAAAUUUGGAGUCUAAGACAGAAGAAAACUGCAGAAGAUUGCUACCCGUUCAAGUAGAAAAACUCAAGCUGGAAAAUUAGCACAGCUGGAAAGGCUAAUGAACUUAGCAUUUAAAAAUGCUUGUAGAGCCGCCAGAUCUACCCCUCAAUCCCAGAGGUAGCUGUUUUUGACAUAAUCAACCCAAUCAUGAAACUUCAGAACCAUUUAAAUAUCACAGUGGUGAAAUAGAUUUGUUUGUACCACGACCUUCACAAUUUUUCUCACGAUUGUCUUUCACCACCCAUCAUUUGCUCCUGACAAAGUGCCAUUUCUUAUUUUCUCUUUAAAUAGACAAGUGGCAAAUUGACCAGCAAGGUAGCUGGCCAGGGUUAGAACUCUGUUAUUGAAUUCCUAUGGUGGGAGUGAAAACAAAAAUACUGAUGGAUACCUAUGUUAUGCCUACAAUUAACAGAGUAAACAUCUUAAUAGGCAUAGAAGACACAAACAGAUGUUCUAAUUGCAUGUCUGUGAGAAACUGAUGUUUACUAGUUCCACUCUGGCUUGGCCUUUGAGACCUCAGGAAGUUUCUCUCCCAGUGGGGAUUUCAGUGAUUUAUUGAUUUCAGUACAAUGAAUAUUUCAGAGACUCGCAGGAUUUUUAAGAGGUUAAAUACAUCCUUACAAAGGUUAGCAUUAUUCACGCUUGAAGGGAAUGCUUACUCUACUUUAACCAGGGUAGCUAUGGCCACAUUUGCCACAUUCUUGCCUAAGUGGGAGAGAAGAUGGAUGGGGUAAUGGAAGGGACUUUCUAAUAGAAAUUGUAGAAAUAAAACAUUGGCACAGAA
Molecule: long non-coding RNA, 1150 nt
Organism: Homo sapiens (human)
Lineage: Eukaryota; Metazoa; Chordata; Mammalia; Primates; Hominidae
Product: long intergenic non-protein coding RNA 1091
Source: Ensembl